RNAcentral lists this long non-coding RNA (2457 nucleotides) under Meleagris gallopavo (turkey). RNAcentral's name for it is "lncRNA (ENSMGAG00000017618.1)". The record is from RNAcentral. Lineage: Eukaryota; Metazoa; Chordata; Aves; Galliformes; Phasianidae.
AUGGGAACUGCAGAUGCUGCCUCCAGUAGAAAACUCAAAACAGGAGGAGUAGAGAAAACGCAAAGUCAUUCCUGCCUACAGACUGCUCAAGUUACUCUAGUCAAUUUCCUCAGGCCCCUCUGUAAAGAAGGGCUACAAGAGACAUGCCAAGUGUGGGGGCAACAAGCAAAGCCUGAGGAAGCUUCUUCUUUAUUCUACUCUUUCCAGCUACAAACAUUACCCCCAAACCUGUCAUGUUGUAGCUGAAGAAAAAGCAGUAGAAAAUUUCACAUUUUUUCUAAUAAAUAUAUUAUAUAUUAAAAAUAAAUAAAUAUAUAUAUAUAAAUUAAAUACUGCCAAUUAAAGCAUAACCACCACUUGUUAAGUACCUGACAGAACUUCCAAGCAUGUGAUAAUCAAAGUCAGACUAUAUCAAAAUGUAAUACGAAAUUUAAAACAAUGAGUAGAUCUUACUGUACGUGCUAUGUAUUGAAUAUAUCUUUCUUUUGUUAUAUUCUGUAGGCUUCCUAGAACAAAAUUUGACAUUUGGGGUAUGAAUUUCACUGGAAUAAAAAUGAGAGGGUAUGAACUAUAUUUUCAGGUAAACUCCUUUUGUUCACUCAAUAAGUACUGGUAGGAUCCAUAGCUCUUGUAUUAAGUCUCCUGCUGAAUGCCCUCCCCUGACAGAAUUUGAUGCCAAAGUGCUGACUACUGGAAAAAUCUAUUAACUGGCAGGCUAUCAUUAAACUUUCCUGCUGAUAUCUUCAAUCAGGAAACAUUUACUGGAACAAGAUCUGGAACUUGGGCAUUUCAUACCCCCGGUGAGAGUGUGAACUAUCAAGAAAACAACACUUCAGUAGAAUAUAAUGUCAGUCUAAGCAAACUUGCUUCCAGAAGAAAGCUUGGAAGCACACAUUCAUUUAGUUUGUCUUCAUUCAUCCGUGGCUCUGACAAGUUAAUAUAAAGAAAUAAGCACUGGGAUAAGCAAAACUAUAAACAAGUUCAGGCUGAAGUCAGCAAAAAAGAAAUCCUCUGGAAAGCAUCAAAGUAUUUUAUUUAUUUUAUUUCCAUUUUUUCAAAGAGAAAAGGCUAUGUGUUUUUGAAAAGUCAUUAUAUGGGCUCCUCUAAAACACCCAAUCUAAAAUUGAUAAUUUGAGAUUAUUUUUCAGUUCAUUUAAAAUUUUAAGAUUGCUUUUUCUGCGUAGGAUGCUUCCUUUGAACUAAUAUUCUGUGUCAUGUUGUGCUUUACAUAUUUUUGCAACUACGGAAUAGUUCAAGUGAAGUCAUGUUCAUCUAAUGAAGAUGAUUUCAGCAAAUGAGACAAUGUGUAUUGCAAUACAAUACAAUUCAGUUCUGUAGUUGUUUUGUGUGUGUGUGUAUGUCAAAUGUCAUUUUUACUGCAAUACAGUCAGGUUAUUUUCUUCAGCAGUUUUAUAUCAAGUACUGCAAGCCAUCUGGGGAAGCCAAAGACAGAGUCCUUCUCCAUAUCCAUUCCAUCUUUCCUUAGCCUUUCUUGACCAUUACUUCACAGCCUCAUCUGAUAUGCGAUACUGCUCCACUGCCAUUUUAUCUGCUCAUCUGCUGAUUGCUUUCCUGACACUUUGCCCUCCUGUAAUACUUGCUCUGAUUGUCAUCCAAUCUCUUACUGAAAUAGACUAUGAGUUUUCAUUUCCGUCACUCAGAUGUGUGUUUUGAAUGCUUUCUGCACACCAGCUCUUAAAGUAUCUACCCACUAGCAGUUUCAAGCACUGGCUAUUACAGGGGCAUAGGCUUAAAAACAAAGAUGAUUAUCUGAGCACAGUCUUUUUUUCAGUCAUGUAAGCUGUGGACCAAAGUAAGAACAUGUUUUUGGUAGAGCCUGUUCAUAUGGAUCCUAUACUGACUUUACAGCCAAAUCACAAUAAAUAAAUAAACUGGAGGGUUGCAUUUUAAAAAGAAUAUGAAUUCUUAAUGCUAGGCAAAUACCACACGCAAAUUGUGGUGAGUUUUCAUUUAAAUCUGCAAUUAAUUGAUUUUGAAGUGUUCAUAUCAUUUUUUCUUUCUGAAAGUGUUAAUGUGAAUAGAUUCGGAUAAAUUAAUUUCAUAGUAUGCAGAAUUGUGAGAAGUGUUGCAAAUUAUCAAGUUGCAAUAUUUAUAUUUUGCUUACUUGAACGAACAUACAGUCGAAGAAAUAAAAACUCUGACAAUGACUGAUUCAAUCAAGCAAAAACCAGCAAAUUCCUGAAAAAUUAUAAAAAACCUGCUCAUGUCUUCAGACAUACUAUUAUUAGGCUCUAGUACAUCUAAUUGCAAUAAACAACAAAAUAUGUAAAAACUGCACAGAAAAUGUUUUUCUUUAAAACUUACUUUAAAAACCCUUACCUAAAACUGGGCCACGCAGAAAAUCAGAUGGUCUCUUCUCUGAAAUCUGUUAAUAAAAUAAAGAAAUGAAAAUGAAUGAGCACAGAGGAAGCUGAGGUGCACCUUAGAUCUUCCAAA